This 468-nucleotide ribosomal RNA is filed under the name uncultured bacterium. RNAcentral describes it as "partial 16S ribosomal RNA". It matches the Rfam family "Bacterial small subunit ribosomal RNA", at positions 28 to 507 of the family's 1533-position model. The record is from RNAcentral.
GACGAACGCUGGCGGCGUGCUUAACACAUGCAAGUCGAACGGAAAGGCCCUGCUUUUGUGGGGUGCUCGAGUGGCGAACGGGUGAGUAACACGUGAGUAACCUGCCCUUUACUUUGGGAUAACUUCAGGAAACUGGGGCUAAUACCGGAUAGGAGCUCCUGCUGCAUGGUGGUGGUUGGAAAGUUUCGGCGGUUGGGGAUGGACUCGCGGCUUAUCAGCUUGUUGGUGGUGUAGUGGCUUACCAAGGCUUUGACGGGUAGCCGGCCUGAGAGGGUGACCGGCGACAUUGGGACUGAGAUACGGACCAGAAUGCUACGGGAGGCAGCAGUGGGGAAUAUUGCACAAUGGGAGGAAGCCUGAUGCAGAAACGCCGCGUGCGGGAUGACGGCCUUCGGGUUGUAAACCGCUUUCGCAUGUGACGAAGCGUGAGUGACGGUAAUGGGUAAAGAUGCACCGGCUAACUACGUG